Non-coding RNA from Epinephelus lanceolatus (giant grouper), 1075 nucleotides. Lineage: Eukaryota; Metazoa; Chordata; Actinopteri; Perciformes; Serranidae. The record is from RefSeq and is a predicted model, not a curated record.
AUUUAUGAUUGUCUGGUGCCGUUAGCUUCUCUGGUGUCGUUAGCUUCUCUGGUGUCGUUAGCUAUUUCUACUUCUGGUCAUCAUGUUGGUUUUUUUUUCUUUAGAUAUGUAAUAGGACAAACAUGCUCUUUAACAGUUUAGUGGGAUUUCUUAACUCAUAAGGGACACAGGUAAUGUGUUUACUUCCUGUAAAUAGAGCAGUAAAUCUGAUGUCCAUAUAUGUAUUUUGUAUUUAUCUGUUUUAACUCCUUAUUUUGACACAAAGACGCAGUCAUAUCUGUAGCAUGUUCUACUGCAUCAAAAUACAGUACAUGUCUCAGGAUUACACUCACCGGCCACUUUAUUAGGUACACCAUGCUAGUACCGGGUUGGACCCCUUUUUAAUUCUUGGUGUCACAGAUUAAAAAGGUAUUAGAAAGAUAGAAAGGUGCUCUGUUGGACUGAGAUCUGAUGACUGUGGAGGCCAUUGGAGUAUAUUGUAGGAUGACUCUGAGCAGUUUGACAACCUGCUAUCUAUCAUCAAGCAGUAUAGCUCUGGGCAUCGAACAACAGCGACCACCAGUUUCUCCUCCAUUGUUUACCAGCUGUAAACUUGUUGUCGUGACGACCACAGAAGGCCCGCCUCUGAAAUCAUCCAGUUGGGCAAUGGGCGGAGAAAAAGAUGAAAAAAUAAAUGACCUGGGGCACUUCUCCGCUCUGAGUUUAAGUUUUUUCAACUCGAGUAGUUCAGAGCAUUCUGACAAAAACGCCAGGUGCGUAGAACACAGAAAUGUGAGGCGUGUCGCAACACAAAAGCAGCGAGCAAAAAGCUUCACUCUCAUUGAACGCUAUUACAAAAAGCCACCUCCAGCUGCUGAAACGCUUUCUGUGUGAUCAGGGCCUAAAUGUGUGAUGUUAAGGUGAGGGCUGGAACACAGACCCAGCCACCAUUGGACUCCUCAACAGCAUCAUGUGACAUGUUUUUUACUUGUUGUGUAUUGUGUGUGUGUGCUUGAUAUCUCUUUACUGUUAUUCACUGCUGGCUGCACAAAGACUUGUCCCUCGGGGAUAAUAAAGUUUACCUUACCUUACCUUA